CUGUAGGUUGGUACUUGUACCGACUGGAUGAGCAGCGAACGGGUGAGUAACGCGUGGGGAAUCUGCCUUUGAGCGGGGGACAACAUUUGGAAACGAAUGCUAAUACCGCAUAAAAACUUUAAACACAAGUUUUAAGUUUGAAAGAUGCAAUUGCAUCACUCAAAGAUGAUCCCGCGUUGUAUUAGCUAGUUGGUGAGGUAAAGGCUCACCAAGGCGAUGAUACAUAGCCGACCUGAGAGGGUGAUCGGCCACAUUGGGACUGAGACACGGCCCAAACUCCUACGGGAGGCAGCAGUAGGGAAUCUUCGGCAAUGGACGAAAGUCUGACCGAGCAACGCCGCGUGAGUGAAGAAGGUUUUCGGAUCGUAAAACUCUGUUGGUAGAGAAGAACGUUGGUGAGAGUGGAAAGCUCAUCAAGUGACGGUAACUACCCAGAAAGGGACGGCUAACUACGUGCCAGCAGCCGCGGUAAUACGUAGGUCCCGAGCGUUGUCCGGAUUUAUUGGGCGUAAAGCGAGCGCAGGUGGUUUAUUAAGUCUGGUGUAAAAGGCAGUGGCUCAACCAUUGUAUGCAUUGGAAACUGGUAGACUUGAGUGCACGAGAGGAGAGUGGAAUUCCAUGUGUAGCGGUGAAAUGCGUAGAUAUAUGGAGGAACACCGGUGGCGAAAGCGGCUCUCUGGCCUGUAACUGACACUGAGGCUCGAAGCGUGGGGAGCAAACAGGAUUAGAUACGUGGUAGUCACGCCGUAAACGAUGAGUGCUAGAUGUAGGGAGCUAUAAGUUCUCUGUAUCGCAGCUAACGCAAUAAGCACUCCGCGUGGGGAGUACGACCGCAAGGUUGAAACUCAAAGGAAUUGACGGGGGCCCGCACAAGCGGUGGAGCAUGUGGUUUAAUUCGAAGCAACGCGAAGAACCUUACCAGGUCUUGACAUACUCGUGCUAUUCCUAGAGAUAGGAAGUUCCUUCGGGACACGGGAUACAGGUGGUGCAUGGUUGUCGUCAGCUCGUGUCGUGAGAUGUUGGGUUAAGUCCCGCAACGAGCGCAACCCCUAUUGUUAGUUGCCAUCAUUAAGUUGGGCACUCUAACGAGACUGCCGGUGAUAAACCGGAGGAAGGUGGGGAUGACGUCAAAUCAUCAUGCCCCUUAUGACCUGGGCUACACACGUGCUACAAUGGAUGGUACAACGAGUCGCGAGACAGUGAUGUUUAGCUAAUCUCUUAAAACCAUUCUCAGUUCGGAUUGUAGGCUGCAACUCGCCUACAUGAAGUCGGAAUCGCUAGUAAUCGCGGAUCAGCACGCCGCGGUGAAUACGUUCCCGGGCCUUGUACACACCGCCCGUCACACCACGGGAGUUGGGAGUACCCGAAGUAGGUUGCCUAACCGCAAGGAGGGCGCUUCCUAAGGUAAGACCGAUG
RNAcentral lists this ribosomal RNA (1416 nucleotides) under Lactococcus lactis. Its description in RNAcentral is "bacterial SSU rRNA". It matches the Rfam family "Bacterial small subunit ribosomal RNA". Lineage: Bacteria; Bacillati; Bacillota; Bacilli; Lactobacillales; Streptococcaceae. The record is from RNAcentral.